ACGAAGGGUGCAAGCGUUACUCGGAAUUACUGGGCGUAAAGCGUGCGUAGGUGGUGAGUUAAGUCUGUCGUGAAAGCCCCGGGCUCAACCUGGGAAUGGCGAUGGAUACUGGCUCGCUAGAGUGCGGUAGAGGAGAGUGGAAUUCCCGGUGUAGCAGUGAAAUGCGUAGAGAUCGGGAGGAACAUCAGUUGCGAAGGCGGGCUACUGGGCCGAUACUGACGCUGAUGCGCGAAAGCCAGGGGAGCGAACGGGA
Molecule: ribosomal RNA, 253 nt
Filed under: uncultured prokaryote
Description: partial 16S ribosomal RNA
Rfam family: Bacterial small subunit ribosomal RNA
Source: RNAcentral